Molecule: ribosomal RNA, 457 nt
Filed under: uncultured bacterium
Lineage: Bacteria
Description: partial 16S ribosomal RNA
Rfam family: Bacterial small subunit ribosomal RNA
Source: RNAcentral
CCUACGGGGGGCAGCAGUGGGGAAUAUUGCACAAUGGGGGAAACCCUGAUGCAGCGACGCCGCGUGAGUGAAGAAGUAUUUCGGUAUGUAAAGCUCUAUCAGCAGGGAAGAAACCCACCCUCCGGGGUGGCUUACGGUACCUGACUAAGAAGCCCCGGCUAACUACGUGCCAGCAGCCGCGGUAAUACGUAGGGGGCAAGCGUUAUCCGGAUUUACUGGGUGUAAAGGGAGCGUAGGUGGCAAGGCAAGUCAGAUGUGAAACCCCGGGGCCCAACCCCGGGAGUGCAUUUGAAACUGUCUGGCUAGAGUGCAGGAGAGGUGAGUGGAAUUCCUAGUGUAGCGGUGAAAUGCAUAGAUAUUAGGAGGAACACCAGUGGCGAAGGCGGCUUACUGGACUGUAACUGACACUGAGGCUCGAAAGCGUGGGGAGCAAACAGGAUUAGAUACCCGUGUAGUC